Molecule: long non-coding RNA, 363 nt
Organism: Leptonychotes weddellii (Weddell seal)
Lineage: Eukaryota; Metazoa; Chordata; Mammalia; Carnivora; Phocidae
Source: RefSeq, a predicted model, not a curated record
CCUGAGCUGAAGGCAGACGCUUAACCGACUGAGCCACCCAGGAACCCUUGGACAGACAUUAUGCAUAUGGUGGAUGGUUACAAGGGCAGGAGCCCUUUUCUGAGGAAACCCCCGAAUGUUCAACCUAAGCAAAGAGCACCAGUAGAAGACGGCCAAAGAAUGGAAAAGGAAAGUACUCGCCAUUGGUGUGUUAAAGAGAAAUUUUCCGAAAAGGUUAUCAUUGAGGCUAUGUGGUGAAAAUGUCAGAACCACAAGAUGGAAAGAGUCUGGAUCCCUGAAUCACUGCUGGAAAAAAGCUUCCUAUGAGAAAUCCCAACCAUGAAUGCCUGCUUUAAACUUUACGUGCUUGAUAAAUAAACAUUA